CCCUUUGGGUGUGACUGCGUACCUUUUGUAUAAUGGGUCAGCGACUUAUAUUCUGUAGCAAGGUUAACCGAAUAGGGGAGCCGGAGGGAAACCGAGUCUUAAUUGGGCGUUAAGUUGCAGGGUAUAGACCCGAAACCCGGUGAUCUAGCCAUGGGCAGGUUGAAGGUUGGGUAACACUAACUGGAGGACCGAACCGACUAAUGUUGAAAAAUUAGCGGAUGACCUGUGGCUGGGGGUGAAAGGCCAAUCAAACCGGGAGAUAGCUGGUUCUCCCCGAAAGCUAUUUAGGUAGCGCCUCGUGAAUUCAUCUCCGGGGGUAGAGCACUGUUUCGGCUAGGGGGCCAUCCCGGCUUACCAACCCGAUGCAAACUGCGAAUACCGGAGAAUGUUAUCACGGGAGACACACGGCGGGUGCUAACGUCCGUCGUGAAGAGGGAAACAACCCAGACCGCCAGCUAAGGUCCCAAAGUCAUGGUUAAGUGGGAAACGAUGUGGGAAGGCCCAGACAGCCAGGAUGUUGGCUUAGAAGCAGCCAUCAUUUAAAGAAAGCGUAAUAGCUCACUGGUCGAGUCGGCCUGCGCGGAAGAUGUAACGGGGCUAAACCAUGCACCGAAGCUGCGGCAGCGACACUGUGUGUUGUUGGGUAGGGGAGCGUUCUGUAAGCCUGUGAAGGUGUGUCGUGAGGCAUGCUGGAGGUAUCAGAAGUGCGAAUGCUGACAUAAGUAACGAUAAAGCGGGUGAAAAGCCCGCUCGCCGGAAGACCAAGGGUUCCUGUCCAACGUUAAUCGGGGCAGGGUGAGUCGACCCCUAAGGCGAGGCCGAAAGGCGUAGUCGAUGGGAAACGGGUUAAUAUUCCCGUACUUGGUGUUACUGCGAAGGGGGGACGGAGAAGGCUAUGUUGGCCGGGCGACGGUUGUCCCGGUUUAAGCGUGUAGGUGUGUGUUCCAGGUAAAUCCGGUUCACUUUAACACUGAGGCGUGACGACGAGGCACUACGGUGCUGAAGCAACAAAUGCCCUGCUUCCAGGAAAAGCCUCUAAGCAUCAGGUAACAUCAAAUCGUACCCCAAACCGACACAGGUGGUCAGGUAGAGAAUACCAAGGCGCUUGAGAGAACUCGGGUGAAGGAACUAGGCAAAAUGGUGCCGUAACUUCGGGAGAAGGCACGCUGACACGUAGGUGAAGUGAUUUACUCAUGGAGCUGAAGUCAGUCGAAGAUACCAGCUGGCUGCAACUGUUUAUUAAAAACACAGCACUGUGCAAACACGAAAGUGGACGUAUACGGUGUGACGCCUGCCCGGUGCCGGAAGGUUAAUUGAUGGGGUCAGCGCAAGCGAAGCUCCUGAUCGAAGCCCCGGUAAACGGCGGCCGUAACUAUAACGGUCCUAAGGUAGCGAAAUUCCUUGUCGGGUAAGUUCCGACCUGCACGAAUGGCGUAAUGAUGGCCAGGCUGUCUCCACCCGAGACUCAGUGAAAUUGAACUCGCUGUGAAGAUGCAGUGUACCCGCGGCAAGACGGAAAGACCCCGUGAACCUUUACUAUAGCUUGACACUGAACAUUGAGCCUUGAUGUGUAGGAUAGGUGGGAGGCUUUGAAGUGUGGACGCCAGUCUGCAUGGAGCCGACCUUGAAAUACCACCCUUUAAUGUUUGAUGUUCUAACGUGGACCCGUUACCCGGGUUGCGGACAGUGUCUGGUGGGUAGUUUGACUGGGGCGGUCUCCUCCUAAAGAGUAACGGAGGAGCACGAAGGUUGGCUAAUCCUGGUCGGACAUCAGGAGGUUAGUGCAAUGGCAUAAGCCAGCUUGACUGCGAGCGUGACGGCGCGAGCAGGUGCGAAAGCAGGUCAUAGUGAUCCGGUGGUUCUGAAUGGAAGGGCCAUCGCUCAACGGAUAAAAGGUACUCCGGGGAUAACAGGCUGAUACCGCCCAAGAGUUCAUAUCGACGGCGGUGUUUGGCACCUCGAUGUCGGCUCAUCACAUCCUGGGGCUGAAGUAGGUCCCAAGGGUAUGGCUGUUCGCCAUUUAAAGUGGUACGCGAGCUGGGUUUAGAACGUCGUGAGACAGUUCGGUCCCUAUCUGCCGUGGGCGCUGGAGAACUGAGGGGGGCUGCUCCUAGUACGAGAGGACCGGAGUGGACGCAUCACUGGUGUUCGGGUUGUCAUGCCAAUGGCACUGCCCGGUAGCUAAAUGCGGAAGAGAUA
RNAcentral lists this ribosomal RNA (2199 nucleotides) under Salmonella enterica subsp. enterica serovar Enteritidis. RNAcentral describes it as "partial 23S ribosomal RNA". It matches the Rfam family "Bacterial large subunit ribosomal RNA", at positions 582 to 2766 of the family's 2925-position model. Lineage: Bacteria; Pseudomonadati; Pseudomonadota; Gammaproteobacteria; Enterobacterales; Enterobacteriaceae. The record is from RNAcentral.